RNAcentral lists this long non-coding RNA (903 nucleotides) under Equus caballus (horse). RNAcentral's name for it is "lncRNA (ENSECAG00000044041.1)". Lineage: Eukaryota; Metazoa; Chordata; Mammalia; Perissodactyla; Equidae. The record is from RNAcentral.
GUGAGAGUCAAGCUGGUGUCACCAGGCUCCCAAGCCUGUGUUUCAUUUAUAAGCACAGGCCCAGCCUACUCUGCAGGGGUUCCCAGGGAGCUUCUAGACCCUUCCUGCCUACUUUUGUGGCAUUAAAUACCACCUGAAAUAAGCAGCCUCAGCGGGCACAUGUACACUGCUUGGUUUUCUCAGGAAGUCCUUCCAGUCCGGUAUGUGGAUUUGGUGUGAAGACACAGUAAGAAGGCAGCCGUCUGCAAUCCUGGAAGAGGGUUCUCACGCCAACCCUUGCUGGCACCCUGACCUUGGGCUUCCAACAUCCAGAACUGACACAGUGACCCCACAACACCCCUGGGCAAACAGGCAGGGAGAAGUGAAGCUACUUGCCCAAGAUCACCCAGCUCAAAAGGGCCAGAGGACGGAGAAGCUGAGAGGAAACCCCGGUGAAGAAGAGGCAGUUGUGUGGGAGAAGCCUUUGCCGUCUCUGGAGGGCCUUGCAGCCCAAGGGAGGGGCUCUCCGCAGCUCGGAGCCCAGGCCUGGCUGAGGAGGGGGCCAGAAGAUGCUCACAAGCACGCCCUGUGCCUGCGGCCCGCUGCCUGGUGCAGCCCCUCUGCGUGCAAGUAACACUAGAGAAGGAAAGACCCUGGCCUUACUGACCACCUGUCCCAUCACCUGUGAUCGUGGUAGGAUUGGGAGUGGGUCUCAUACCCCCUAGUGACAGAGGCUUUCUCCACCCUGUUGUCCAGCUUCCUGGCUCUGAAAGCUGCCGCCUCAGACAGACAGCUGAGUCGCCAGCCUUGUUCUGCUUCGCUCCCCUGAAAGGAAGAGAUCAGAGGCUGUCGCCGUAAUGGAGCAGCCACCAGGAUCCGAGGCACAAAGCACUAGGGGCAGUGGAUGUCUUUAGCAGGCCACAA